This 541-nucleotide ribosomal RNA is filed under the name uncultured bacterium. Its description in RNAcentral is "bacterial SSU rRNA". It matches the Rfam family "Bacterial small subunit ribosomal RNA", at positions 28 to 505 of the family's 1533-position model. The record is from RNAcentral.
GACGAACGCUGGCGGCGUGGAUUAGGCAUGCAAGUCGAACGGUAUGGACCUUUCGGGGUUCAGAGAGUGGCGAACGGGUGAGUAACACGUAGGUAAUCUACCCUCAAGACGGGGACAACCCAGGGAAACUUGGGCUAAUACCGGAUGUGUGUAGUGGCUAUUUUUCUGAUUAUCAUUAUUUACGUAAGUGAGUAAUAAUAAGAAGGGAAAGUGGUUAUUACAUAAAAGGUGGCGUAAGCUGCCGCUUGGGGAUGAGCCUGCGUCCUAUUAGUUAGUUGGUGAGGUAACGGCUUACCAAGGCGAUGAUAGGUAGGCGGCCUUAACGGGGUGGUCGCCCACACUGGGGAUUGAGAUACGGCCCAGACUCCUACGGGAGGCAGCAGUCGGGAAUAGUCUACAAUGGACGGAAGUCUGAUAGUGCGACGCCGCGUGAACGAAGAAUCCCUUCGGGGUGUAAAGUCUUUUAUACGUGAGCAGUGUCCUUUAUAUUAAUAGUAUAAGGGAGAGAUAUUAGCGUAUGAAUAAGCAACGGCUAACUCCG